Non-coding RNA from Sporosarcina psychrophila, 86 nucleotides. Lineage: Bacteria; Bacillati; Bacillota; Bacilli; Caryophanales; Caryophanaceae. The record is from Rfam.
GAUGGUUAUAGGCAAACCUAUUGAAAAGUAGGGACGCAAAGCUACAGGUCUAAAGUAAUUAUUACUAUGACGGCUGAGCUGCUCAA